GAGUUUGAUCCUGGCUCAGAACGAACGCUGGCGGCGUGCCUAACACAUGCAAGUCGAACGGAUUUGAGGAGCUUGCUUCUCAAGUUAGUGGCGCACGGGUGAGUAACGCGUAGAUAAUCUGCCUGAUGAUCUGGGAUAACACUUCGAAAGGGGUGCUAAUACCGGAUAAGCCCACGGAGUCUUUGGACUUUGCGGGAAAAGGGGGGGACCUUCGGGCCUUCUGUCAUCAGAUGAGUCUGCGUACCAUUAGCUAGUUGGUAGGGUAAAGGCCUACCAAGGCUACGAUGGUUAGCUGGUCUGAGAGGAUGAUCAGCCACACUGGGACUGAGACACGGUCCAGACUCCUACGGGAGGCAGCAGUGGGGAAUUUUGCGCAAUGGGCGAAAGCCUGACGCAGCAACGCCGCGUGAGUGAUGAAGGCCUUCGGGUCGUAAAGCUCUGUCGAGGGGAAAGAAGUGUAUUAGGGCUAAUAUCCCUGAUACUUGACGGUACCCCUAAAGGAAGCACCGGCUAACUCCAUGCCAGCAGCCGCGGUAAUAC
Molecule: ribosomal RNA, 540 nt
Filed under: uncultured Geobacteraceae bacterium
Lineage: Bacteria; Pseudomonadati; Thermodesulfobacteriota; Desulfuromonadia; Geobacterales; Geobacteraceae
Description: bacterial SSU rRNA
Rfam family: Bacterial small subunit ribosomal RNA
Source: RNAcentral